RNAcentral lists this ribosomal RNA (247 nucleotides) under uncultured bacterium. RNAcentral's name for it is "partial 16S ribosomal RNA". It matches the Rfam family "Bacterial small subunit ribosomal RNA", at positions 29 to 263 of the family's 1533-position model. The record is from RNAcentral.
AACGAACGCUGGCGGCGUGCCUAACACAUGCAAGUCGAGCGCGAAUGGAGCAAUCCUAGUAGAGCGGCGCACGGGUGCGUAACACGUGGGUAAUCUGCCUCAAAGAUCGGAAUAACCUGCCGAAAGGCUGGCUAAUGCCGGAUAAGCCUACGAGCUCUUCGGAGCUUGAAGGAAAAGGUGGCCUCUGUACACAAGCUAUCACUUUGAGAUGAGCCCGCGGCCCAUCAGCUAGUUGGCGGGGUAACGG